This 84-nucleotide small RNA is filed under the name Flavobacterium sp. 9. RNAcentral's name for it is "Flavo-1 RNA". It matches the Rfam family "Flavo-1 RNA". Lineage: Bacteria; Pseudomonadati; Bacteroidota; Flavobacteriia; Flavobacteriales; Flavobacteriaceae. The record is from RNAcentral.
UUGUGUGAGGGAUAGAAGUGAAAAUCCUUUUUUAUAAAUUUUUUCUAUUUAUUAAAAAGAUUGUAACGAAUAGCCCGACCCGCU